AUACGGAGGAUGCGAGCGUUAUCCGGAUUUAUUGGGUUUAAAGGGAGCGUAGGCGGGAGCUUAAGUCAGCGGUUAAAUGGUGCGGCUCAACCGUGCCCUGCCGUUGAAACUGGGUUUCUUGAGAGUGCAAGAGGCGGAUGGAAUUCAUGGUGUAGCGGGUGAAUGCUUAGAUAUCAUGAAGAACUCCGAUUGCGAAGGCAGUCCGCUGGGGCACGUCUGACGCUGAUGCUCGAAGGUGCGGGAAUCAAACAGGAUUAGAUACCCUGGUAGUCCGCACGGUAAACGAUGAUUACCCGCUGUCGGCGGCAGACAGUCGGCGGCCAAGCGAAAGCGAUAAGUAAUCCACCUGGGGAGUACGCCGGCAACGGUGAAACUCAAAGGAAUUGACGGGG
This 392-nucleotide ribosomal RNA is filed under the name uncultured bacterium. Its description in RNAcentral is "partial 16S ribosomal RNA". It matches the Rfam family "Bacterial small subunit ribosomal RNA", at positions 523 to 918 of the family's 1533-position model. The record is from RNAcentral.